CCUACGGUGGGCAGCAGUGAGGAAUAUUGGUCAAUGGACGCAAGUCUGAACCAGCCAUGCCGCGUGCAGGAAGACGGCUCUAUGAGUUGUAAACUGCUUUUGUACGAGGGUAAACGCAGAUACGCGUAUCUGUCUGAAAGUAUCUUACGAAUCAGGCUCGGCUAACUCCGUGCCAGCAGCCGCGGUACUACGGAGGAUGCAAGCGUUAUACGGAUUUAUUGGGUUUAAAGGGUGCGUAGGCGGUCGGAUAAGUUAGAGGUGAAAUCCCGAGGCUCAACUUCGGAAUUGCCUUUGAUACUGGUCGUCUAGAGAGUAGUUGAGGUAGGCGGAAUGUAUGGUGUAGCGGUGAAAUGCUUAGAGAUCAUACAGAACACCGAUUGCGAAGGCAGCUUACCAAGCUACUUCUGACGUUGAGGCACGAAAGCGUGGGGAGCAAACAGGAUUAGAUACCCGAGUAGUC
This 460-nucleotide ribosomal RNA is filed under the name uncultured bacterium. RNAcentral describes it as "partial 16S ribosomal RNA". It matches the Rfam family "Bacterial small subunit ribosomal RNA", at positions 338 to 795 of the family's 1533-position model. The record is from RNAcentral.